GCCACUUUAGCUCAGCUGGUAGAGCAACGCAUUCGUAAUGCGUAGGUCCGCGGUUCGAAUCCGCGAAGUGGCU
RNAcentral lists this transfer RNA (73 nucleotides) under Bacteroidales bacterium. RNAcentral describes it as "tRNA-Thr". It matches the Rfam family "tRNA". Rfam says of the family: Transfer RNA (tRNA) molecules are approximately 80 nucleotides in length. Their secondary structure includes four short double-helical elements and three loops (D, anti-codon, and T loops). Further hydrogen bonds mediate the characteristic L-shaped molecular structure. tRNAs have two regions of fundamental functional importance: the anti-codon, which is responsible for specific mRNA codon recognition, and the 3' end, to which the tRNAs corresponding amino acid is attached (by aminoacyl-tRNA synthetases). tRNAs cope with the degeneracy of the genetic code in two manners: having more than one tRNA (with a specific anti-codon) for a particular amino acid; and 'wobble' base-pairing, i.e. permitting non-standard base-pairing at the 3rd anti-codon position. Lineage: Bacteria; Pseudomonadati; Bacteroidota; Bacteroidia; Bacteroidales. The record is from RNAcentral.